CGGGGCGUAGCGAAGCUUGGCUAUCGCGCCUGGUUUGGGACCAGGAGAUCGUCAGUUCGAAUCUGACCGCCCCGA
Molecule: transfer RNA, 75 nt
Filed under: Candidatus Omnitrophota bacterium
Lineage: Bacteria; Pseudomonadati; Candidatus Omnitrophota
Description: Candidatus Omnitrophica bacterium (aquatic metagenome) tRNA-Pro
Rfam family: tRNA
About the family: Transfer RNA (tRNA) molecules are approximately 80 nucleotides in length. Their secondary structure includes four short double-helical elements and three loops (D, anti-codon, and T loops).
Source: RNAcentral